UAUGGACUUCCACUAUGUUGUUGAUUAUUUUUAUAGGUGUAUGUAUGAUUACAAAGAUUCCUAAUCUUCUAUGCUAAGCAAUCACACAAAGAAUCCAAUCUUCAAGCUCUCUUAAAAUCGAAAAAUCCACAAGGUCUCCGAACCUCAAGCUUGCAUCCAGUCCUUCAAAUUUCUACUCCAAGAAAUCUUCUUUGUUAUGCCUCCGCUUCGAUCCCCUUGAACCUUGAAUGUUUGAGAAACAACCCCCACAAUUACCUUUGGAGGUGAAAAGUACUUCCUUUUCCUUUAAAUCCUUGAUGCUCCAUCAAUUACACUAACAAUCCAGAUCUCAAAUCCUUCAAAAGUUCUUAGAAAAAGUGUUUAAUCUGAAGAAGUUUAUAGAAAGUGAGAGGUUGGAUACUUUAGAGUGUUUUUGUAAAUUGAUUAUAUGAAGUGCGGGAAUGAAAGGAUAUAAUUCUAUAUAGUCAAGUGAGAUAGAUGGGAGUUUGCCUAAAUAUAUAACAUAAAAUUGAUGUGUGAAUCGAGUUAGACUUAGUGUGAAUCGAUUCAAUAGUGUAAAAUGAGGUGGCUGGGCUGACAUGAAGAUUGACAUGAUAUUCAUGAACAAUGAAUCAAUUCAAGACAAUUUUUUAUGAAGAAUGAAUCGAUUCAUAGAACUUUUGAAUCGAAGUAGUGUUUCCAAAAGCAAUUCGAUACUAAUCAAAACCAUUUGAUACGAUUCAAACAACAAAAGAUAGACACCAUAAUGGUAGAUUGAAUCGAUUUAAUUUCUUCAAAGUAGAGAUUUGAAUGAAAUCAAGACAUAAUAUUUGAACGCCCAAACCAUUAUCUUACUUGAUUCAAAAAUUGCAAAGCAUUACUUUGAAUCAAAUCGAAGCCUUAGGAAAUGAAAUUUUUGAGAAAACUGGAAUAACAAGGUACACAUAGAAUGAUAUUAACGUUGAAGUUCAUAAAACAUCAUCAUAGAUGACAAUAACACAAAGACUAAUUAGGGUGCUUCACAAAAGAUUGUAGCAUCGAAAAAAUUCCUUCUAAGAAGCUCUGAGGGGCAAAAGCACCAUUUCAUAUGUCCAACUUCCCACAUCAAUUAUCAACGGGGAUGCCCUUUGUAUCAAGAUAACGCAAGCAAUGUAAGAAAACAGAAUUGUGGUUACAUGAACACCUUCAUUGUGUGAUUUACAAGUCGACUAUGCAAAGCCUCAUUUCCUCUAUACCAUGCUCUUGAAGCUCUCAAAUUCGUGAUGUGUUUGUGGCGGCAGUGAUUCAUAUUGCACAUACAAUUUGGUUAAUUCUUAACAUCUUGCGCUUUAGUUUUGAUAAAACGUCGAUUAAAAAGGCAAAGAUAAUUACUUAUGUCGCAUUGUCAGACAAUAAUUCUUCAGGUAAAUGUUUGCCCAAUUCGUCGGAUAACUGUCUUUUGAAUGUUUUCUUGGUCUCUCUUAACCAUCGAUAAAUGUGUUGUCAUCUCUGUUGUUUAGAAGAUGCUUUCUUUUCCUUAUAUUAAGUUGAAUACAGAUGACUCUUUGGUUGAUAAUAUGGGGGCUUGUGGCGGGAUUUUUUGAGAUUAUAGAGGUUCUUUUUUAGGCUGUUUUGCUGCUAAUUUGGGGUCGAGUUCGGUAAUUGAGGCAGAACUGCACAACUUUAUCUUGGGAUUAAAAUAUGCAUUUCAGCACGGCUGGUAUCAUGUUUGGGUGGAAGGCGAAUCCACUUCUUCUCUAUUGACCUUCAUGAAUCAUAUUCUUGUUCCUUUAAGGCUUCGGAACCGGUGGCACAAUUGAUUACAUGUUGGAAUUCACAUUUUACCGUCACAUAUUUAUCAGGAAGGAAAUGCAUGUGCUGAUAAUCUGGCUGAUCAUG
This 1857-nucleotide long non-coding RNA is filed under the name Medicago truncatula (barrel medic). Its description in RNAcentral is "long non-coding RNA (MTRU_LNC001770)". The record is from RNAcentral. Lineage: Eukaryota; Viridiplantae; Streptophyta; Magnoliopsida; Fabales; Fabaceae.